UCUGGCUUUAGGUCUGGGACAACCACUGGAAACGGUGGCUAAUACCGGAUGUGCCUUUAGGGGUGAAAGGUUAACUGCCUGAAGAUGAGCUCGCGUCUGAUUAGCUAGUUGGAAGUGUAAUGGACUCCCAAGGCGACGAUCAGUAGCUGGUCUGAGAGGACGAUCAGCCACACUGGGACUGAGACACGGCCCAGACUCCUACGGGAGGCAGCAGUGGGGAAUUUUCCGCAAUGGGCGAAAGCCUGACGGAGCAAUACCGCGUGAGGGAGGAAGGCUCUUGGGUCGUAAACCUCUUUUCUCAGGGAAGAACACAAUGACGGUACCUGAGGAAUAAGCAUCGGCUAACUCCGUGCCAGCAGCCGCGGUAAUACGGAGGAUGCAAGCGUUAUCCGGAAUGAUUGGGCGUAAAGCGUCCGCAGGUGGCAAUGUAAGUCUGCUGUUAAAGAGUCUAGCUCAACUAGAUACAAGCAGUGGAACUACAUAGCUAGAGUACGUUCGGGGCAGAGGGAAUUCCUGGUGUAGCGGUGAAAUGCGUAGAGAUCAGGAAGAACACCAGUGGCGAAGGCGCUCUGCUAGGCCGUAACUGACACUGAGGACCGAGAGC
This 604-nucleotide ribosomal RNA is filed under the name Nostoc sp. 'Leptogium saturninum cyanobiont'. RNAcentral describes it as "bacterial SSU rRNA". It matches the Rfam family "Bacterial small subunit ribosomal RNA", at positions 125 to 760 of the family's 1533-position model. Lineage: Bacteria; Bacillati; Cyanobacteriota; Cyanophyceae; Nostocales; Nostocaceae. The record is from RNAcentral.